UGGGGAAUUUUGGACAAUGGGCGAAAGCCUGAUCCAGCAAUGCCGCGUGUGUGAAGAAGGCCUUCGGGUUGUAAAGCACUUUUGUCCGGAAAGAAAUCCUUGGCUCUAAUACAGUCGGGGGAUGACGGUACCGGAAGAAUAAGCACCGGCUAACUACGUGCCAGCAGCCGCGGUAAUACGUAGGGUGCAAGCGUUAAUCGGAAUUACUGGGCGUAAAGCGUGCGCAGGCGGUUUGCUAAGACCGAUGUGAAAUCCCCGGGCUCAACCUGGGAACUGCAUUGGUGACUGGCAGGCUAGAGUAUGGCAGAGGGGGGUAGAAUUCCACGUGUAGCAGUGAAAUGCGUAGAGAUGUGGAGGAAUACCGAUGGCGAAGGCAGCCCCCUGGGCCAAUACUGACGCUCAUGCACGGAAGCGUGGGGAGCAAACAGGAUUAGAUACCCUGGUAGUCCACGCCCUAAACGAUGUCAACUAGUUGUUGGGGAUUCAUUUCCUUAGUAACGUAGCUAACGCGUGAAGUUGACCGCCUGGGGAGUACGGUCGCAAGAUUAAAACUCAAAUGAAUUGACGGGGUCAUAGCUGUUUCCU
This 585-nucleotide ribosomal RNA is filed under the name uncultured bacterium. Its description in RNAcentral is "partial 16S ribosomal RNA". It matches the Rfam family "Bacterial small subunit ribosomal RNA", at positions 355 to 1375 of the family's 1533-position model. The record is from RNAcentral.